Molecule: long non-coding RNA, 770 nt
Organism: Salvia miltiorrhiza (redroot sage)
Lineage: Eukaryota; Viridiplantae; Streptophyta; Magnoliopsida; Lamiales; Lamiaceae
Exons: 3
Source: RefSeq, a predicted model, not a curated record
UAACGUGUAUCAACUAAUCCCACAAAAAUCGGUGGUGAAUUAAUUGCUCCAAAAUUUUCGUUGGUUUCAUUUUACAUUUUUUUCCUUAAUCAUUUGCAAUUAGAGAUUUCUUCCUUUUCAUUUUAUUCCCGUCAGCGGCGAAAUACAAAGGCGGAACAAGCGGCUUCUUCAGAUUUGGUCGAGCGGUGAAGACGAAGAUCAUCGUGGUAAACAAGCGGCAUGAAAAGAGUGGAUCUCAUUUAAAAAGAGGUGAAAAUAGUGAGUUCAUCGAAAACAUGGAGGAUUUUGAAUAAUCUCAUCAUCAACUUGUUGAAGAAGACUUCAGAACUUGGUUCUCUAUGGAAAAGGUGUUGGAUUAAUUUUGUGGUUUAGCUGCUAGAGACCUAGCUUUGGAAAAAGAUGUGAUUCUCCUUCUGGUUUCGGUUCUUUUCCUUUAUUUGUUGUAAACGCUCUUCUCUUUGGGGUAAUUGGUACUAUUGGUACCAAAGAUCCUUUUAUUAAAGUGCCUUUUUUACUGAUCAAAAAAGCUUGUUGAAGAAGAAGGUGAACUUGCUGAACAAGCGGCGAAAUACGAAGGUUCCAAAGAACAUUAUAAGUUUUUUGUUUUUCAGAACCUGGUUCAGGCAAAAUCCGAUGCAUCACGUACGGCUGGAAAAUGUAAAAGAAGGGUAAAGAAAAACUGAUCGAAGAUGUGUUAUUUGACAGUAGUUUUGUAAUAUUCAGUUAAACAUAUGUAUUAUACAUUAGAAAAUAAAUUUAUUCAUUCGACA